CAGUCGCCGCGGGAAUACGUAGGGUGCAAGCGUUAAUCGGAAUUACUGGGCGUAAAGCGUGCGCAGGCGGUGUUGUAAGACUGAUGUGAAAUCCCCGGGCUCAACCUGGGAACUGCAUUGGUGACUGCAACGCUGGAGUGCGGCAGAGGGGGAUGGAAUUCCGCGUGUAGCAGUGAAAUGCGUAGAUAUGCGGAGGAACACCGAUGGCGAAAGCACUCUGCUGGGCCGACACUGACACUGAGAGACGAAAGCUAGGGGAGCAAAUGGGAUUAGAUACCCCUGUAGUCCCUGUCUCUUAUAC
RNAcentral lists this ribosomal RNA (301 nucleotides) under uncultured bacterium. RNAcentral's name for it is "partial 16S ribosomal RNA". It matches the Rfam family "Bacterial small subunit ribosomal RNA", at positions 509 to 807 of the family's 1533-position model. The record is from RNAcentral.